Molecule: ribosomal RNA, 1044 nt
Filed under: Penicillium sp.
Lineage: Eukaryota; Fungi; Ascomycota; Eurotiomycetes; Eurotiales; Aspergillaceae
Description: eukaryotic LSU rRNA
Rfam family: Eukaryotic large subunit ribosomal RNA (bases 502-1044)
Source: RNAcentral
CAUUACCGAGUGAGGGCCCUCUGGGUCCAACCUCCCACCCGUGUCUAUUGUACCUUGUUGCUUCGGCGGGCCCGCCGCAAGGCCGCCGGGGGGCUUCUGCCCCCGGGCCCGCGCCCGCCGAAGACACCAUUGAACGCUGUCUGAAGAUUGCAGUCUGAGCAAUUAGCUAAAUAAGUUAAAACUUUCAACAACGGAUCUCUUGGUUCCGGCAUCGAUGAAGAACGCAGCGAAAUGCGAUACGUAAUGUGAAUUGCAGAAUUCAGUGAAUCAUCGAGUCUUUGAACGCACAUUGCGCCCCCUGGUAUUCCGGGGGGCAUGCCUGUCCGAGCGUCAUUGCUGCCCUUAAGCACGGCUUAUGUGUUGGGCCUCCGUCCUCCUUUGGGGGGACGGGCCCGAAAGGCAGCGGCGGCACCGCGUCCGGUCCUCGAGCGUAUGGGGCUUCGUCACCCGCUCUGUAGGUCCGGCCGGCGCCUGCCGAACACAUCAAUCUUUUUUCCAGGUUGACCUCGGAUCAGGUAGGGAUACCCGCUGAACUUAAGCAUAUCAAUAAGCGGAGGAAAAGAAACCAACAGGGAUUGCCUCAGUAACGGCGAGUGAAGCGGCAAGAGCUCAAAUUUGAAAGCUGGCCCCCUCGGGGUCCGCAUUGUAAUUUGCAGAGGAUGCUUCGGGAGUGGCCCCCAUCUAAGUGCUCUGGAACGGGCCGUCAUAGAGGGUGAGAAUCCCGUAUGGGAUGGGGUGUCCGCGACCAUGUGAAGCUCCUUCGACGAGUCGAGUUGUUUGGGAAUGCAGCUCUAAAUGGGUGGUAAAUUUCAUCUAAAGCUAAAUAUUGGCCGGAGACCGAUAGCGCACAAGUAGAGUGAUCGAAAGAUGAAAAGCACUUUGAAAAGAGAGUUAAAAAGCACGUGAAAUUGUUGAAAGGGAAGCGCUUGCGACCAGACUCGCCUGCGGGGUUCAGCCGGUAUUCGUACCGGUGUACUUCCCCGUGGGCGGGCCAGCGUCGGUUUGGGCGGCCGGUCAAAGGCCCUCGGAAUGUAACGCCUCUCG